GGCUCAUAGAUUUGUCCGAAAAAAUCUCUAAAACCGCUAAUAUCGCUCAAAAACAAAAGUUAUAUGGAAUAUUAACAUAAAAUAUAAAGAAUAAUACAAUAUGGAAAAGGAAUGAACCGGCCGGCUCACAAAUUCCCAUAUAUAUACACUUCUCUUUAGCUUAUAUUCAUCUUCUUAAGGCGUGUCUUUCUUUACCUAUCUUUUUUUUUUCUGAACAGAGAAGUUAUUCAUACUAACACUGUCUAAUCAGAUGGAACUCUGCGCGAUAUGCAAAGAGGAGAGGCAAAAGUGCACACAAAAGUGUGUGCUAACACCCUACUUGCCGGCGAACAAACCUGAGAGCUACGCUUGCUUAGUUUAUGUGUUUGACGUGAAAAAUCUGGUUAGAAUUCUCAAAGAGAUUGAUCCUAGCCAGAGGCAAGCUUGCGUGGACUCGCUGUGUUUCGAGGCGGAAGCACGUAUCCGGGACCCAGUUAAUGGCACCCUUGGCAUAAUUCGCGACAACCAGCGUCGUAUUCAACACCUUCAAAGGGAACAAUGGGAAUUGCUCAGUUUGAGAAAUGCUCUAAGGGAAUUGGCCAUGAACCAUGGAAGAUCACGUCUUUGAGGGCAUCUAAUUAGUACUGCUUUUAUUUUUUUAGUAUGGGUUUGAAUUGUUAGAAUACUUGUUUCGAAUCAUGUCUUUGUUGGGUUUUUUUCUUCUGAAUAAUCUCAUUAUUAUUAUUAUGGAGAUAGAGUUAAAACUCAUCUCUCUUUCAUUUUGAUUAUAAUGAUCCCCGAGUAUUAAACA
This is a long non-coding RNA of Raphanus sativus (radish), 790 nucleotides long. RefSeq lists it as uncharacterized. The transcript is spliced from 2 exons. NCBI's taxonomy places the organism in Eukaryota, Viridiplantae, Streptophyta, Magnoliopsida, Brassicales, Brassicaceae. The record is from RefSeq and is a predicted model, not a curated record.